GACGAACGCUGGCGGCGUGCUUAACACAUGCAAGUCGAACGGAAAGGCCCCCAUCUUGGUGGGGGUGCUCGAGUGGCGAACGGGUGAGUAACACGUGGGUGAUCUGCCCUGUACUUCGGGAUAAGCUUGGGAAACUGGGUCUGAUACCGGAUAGGACCAUGGUUUAGUGUCUCAUGGUGGAAAGAUUAUUGUUUUGGUGCAGGAUGAGCUCGCGGCCUAUCAGCUUGUUGGUGGGGUAAUGGCCUACCAAGGCGUCGACGGGUAGCCGGCCUGAGAGGGUGGACGGCCACAUUGGGACUGAGAUACGGCCCAGACUCCUACGGGAGGCAGCAGUGGGGAAUAUUGCACAAUGGGCGCAAGCCUGAUGCAGCGACGCCGCGUGGGGGAUGACGGCCUUCGGGUUGUAAACUCCUUUCGUUAGGGACGAAGCCGCACUUUUUUUGGGUGUGGUGACGGUACCUUUGUUAAGAAGCACCGGCUAACUACGUG
This 489-nucleotide ribosomal RNA is filed under the name uncultured bacterium. RNAcentral's name for it is "partial 16S ribosomal RNA". It matches the Rfam family "Bacterial small subunit ribosomal RNA", at positions 28 to 507 of the family's 1533-position model. The record is from RNAcentral.